AUUGAACGCUGGCGGCAGGCCUAACACAUGCAAGUCGAGCGGUAGAGAGAAGCUUGCUUCUCUUGAGAGCGGCGGACGGGUGAGUAAUGCCUAGGAAUCUGCCUGGUAGUGGGGGAUAACGUUCGGAAACGGACGCUAAUACCGCAUACGUCCUACGGGAGAAAGCAGGGGACCUUCGGGCCUUGCGCUAUCAGAUGAGCCUAGGUCGGAUUAGCUAGUUGGUGAGGUAAUGGCUCACCAAGGCGACGAUCCGUAACUGGUCUGAGAGGAUGAUCAGUCACACUGGAACUGAGACACGGUCCAGACUCCUACGGGAGGCAGCAGUGGGGAAUAUUGGACAAUGGGCGAAAGCCUGAUCCAGCCAU
RNAcentral lists this ribosomal RNA (365 nucleotides) under Pseudomonas sp. R-26745. Its description in RNAcentral is "bacterial SSU rRNA". It matches the Rfam family "Bacterial small subunit ribosomal RNA", at positions 30 to 395 of the family's 1533-position model. The record is from RNAcentral. Lineage: Bacteria; Pseudomonadati; Pseudomonadota; Gammaproteobacteria; Pseudomonadales; Pseudomonadaceae.